RNAcentral lists this ribosomal RNA (511 nucleotides) under Parapenaeopsis cornuta. Its description in RNAcentral is "partial 16S ribosomal RNA". It matches the Rfam family "Bacterial large subunit ribosomal RNA", at positions 1830 to 2597 of the family's 2925-position model. Lineage: Eukaryota; Metazoa; Arthropoda; Malacostraca; Decapoda; Penaeidae. The record is from RNAcentral.
GUCUAUAUGAGAGGUAUAUAAAGUCUGGCCUGCCCACUGAUUUAAGUUAAAGGGCCGCGGUAUUUUGACCGUGCGAAGGUAGCAUAAUCAUUAGUCUUUUAAUUGAGGGCUUGUAUGAAUGGUUGGACAAAAAAUAAGCUGUCUCGGUCGUAUAUAUUGAACUUAACUUUUGAGUGAAAAGGCUCAAAUAUUUUAGGGGGACGAUAAGACCCUAUAAAGCUUUACAAUUGUUUAAUUAGAUUGUAAAUUGUUUAUUUAACAUAAUUUAAUUAAUGCUUGUUUCGUUGGGGCGACGGAAAUAUAAUUAGUAACUGUUUUUUAUAAAAAACAAUUAUUUUUGGUAAAAUGAUCCUCUAUUAGAGAUUAAAAGAUCAAGUUACUUUAGGGAUAACAGCGUAAUCUUCUUUGAAAGUUCAUAUCGACAAGAAGGGUUGCGACCUCGAUGUUGAAUUAAGGUUUCUUUAUGGUGCAGCAGUCAUAAUGAGAGGGUCUGUUCGACCUUUAAUCCCUU